ACAAGCCCAUCUAUUCCUAAGACCAAAUUUGCCGACGGCAAGAACUUUUCCAUUCACUGCACGCGUCUCCUCAACUUCACCUCCUUUUCAAUCCAGAAAAUAAGACGUUGUAACUCUUCCUUUCCAUGUAGUUAAUUCACCUCCACCACUACUACUCAUUAAAUUAUCUCCUUUAUUCUUUCCAAAUGAUCGCUCCAACUCCCUCUGUUUCUCUGGCGAUGCGAUCGGAAAAAUUCAACAGCAAUUCUCCAUUUUCUAUGUUUUCCUGGCGACAUCUCAGGGUUAUCUGAGAUGGAUCUAAGUUCCCGUAAUCCACUUGGAGGGUGGAAACACCCUGGUUCUUAUUGAAGAGCUGUGAACAGUGAUGCAAAGCUUCAGAUCAUCAAAUCGGGCUCCACGAUACCAACCUCACAUCAAACCGACAACUACUUACAUCCUCAGGAAUUAAUAUGCGAGGAAAAUCAAGAACAUCUACAAAGUUGCUGAUCAAAGUUCCACUUAUAUGAAGAUUUUGAAGCUAACUGUGGGCUCAGGAACCUCUAUUAUGAGGGGAAGGUGUAAAAGAUUACGUCCCGGGAACAUUGGACUUGGAAGUAUGAGGAGAUAAGACAGAGGCGGAAUAAGAGCAACCUGAGAUUUUUGUAUAAUGCUGAACUGGAUCCAGAGAUCGUUUGUGGCUGCGAUUGCAUCAACGGCAAAGGGAUUUGUGUAGUGUCCACCAUAAAUAAGAUCGAUAGGUCAGGGGCUUCUUCUUAAUCAAUCAAAAAUGCAAAACCCCUUCCUGAGGACCAACAAGUAAUAAGGUCUCUGCAAUGGGCAUUGUCGAGAACUCUUUUUAUUAGUAUCUACAUAUGCAAUCACUUUAAAGAGAUCAAGGAGCCUUAACUAUACAAGGUCUAUUAUUAAUCCGAGCUUUUUUAUUUCUCAAUGAACAGGCGUACAAAACAAAGAAACUUUGCUAUGUAUCGGUCAUGCAGUGGCACUUCUGAGCUGUUGGGUUUGGUUAGAAUGUGUUUCAACAAUGUGAACCAAACUGUGAUCGAGAAUCAUAGAUUUAAUUUCUCGACUAAAUGUAGGUCCACAAUGUACGACUACGAAACUUUAUGUAAUUGUCAGAAGCUUCUUGAGAAGAUUUACGGUGGGUUGGUAGAAACAACAGCUGGCAAAUUAGUAGUAAUGUUUUCCAAUGUAAAAUACUGAUUGAAAGUGUAUGGUUAUUUUGUUUAUUUAUGAAUGAAUAUUACUAUUGUUCGUUUUUAACUCUUUCUGUUACCAUGAUCGACUUAGACGGUGCGAAGAGCUUUGAGAAUGAAGAAGGUGUAUCAGGAUGCCUGCGACCGUUCAGUUAAGCAUAUUCACACGGAUGUAUAGAUUGAUGGCGCAGACAGGAAAACUCUCCAAUGUAGGAAAUGGUGGCUCUGGAUGAAUCUAUUGAGAGGUUGCUACACAACAGCGAAGUGUUUCUCGACCGCCAGUGUCACACUCGUGGCGGAGAAGGCAGCAGGGUCUACGUGGCUAUCAGGUUUGAGAGAAUCGGAUCUGAAUAUUACUUUGUCUGUUUAGUCUAACCCUUUUCAUUACCCUGUUUCUGAAGUGGUCAAGUUAGACGCUGCGUUUUGUUGCAUGUGUGAGUCAGAGUAAAAUGAAAACGGUGUCUGAGGAGAAGAUAAGAUGUUCAGGAACUCGAAGACAAAACCAAAGAAGUACCAGAGCUGAAGACAUAGAGACAUACGAAGAAACUUAAUUAAUGGAUGAUCUAGAGAGAAUCGCGAGGCUGAAGCUAGCAGAUGCAGACAUGUUACAACUUAAAGCUAACAAAGCAUAACGGGGGCUGAGAGGUUGUAAAGAUUCUACUACGAAAAUGGAUAGGUUUGAAGAAGAAUGUGCAAGUAACUAUCUGAUACAGAGGUUAACCAAGGCUGAGGCAGAGAAGCAGUAUAUCUUUGAGAAGAUUAAGCUGAAGGAAAAUUUCAAGGAUCGCAUCACAAAGCGGUGGUGAUGGUGGUGGUAGUGGUGGAGAGUCUGGAGACCCGUCACAUGGGUUUGAUGUACUCAAAGAUCCGCGAUCCACAAUCAAAAGAGCACCAUCCUUUCAUGUCCGUUUGAUGCUUCUUUCCUUCUAGAUAUAUGUUCAGAUUUCAUAUCCUAAAAGGCUAAAACUCAUAUCUUUGUUUUGUGAAUUGAGUGUUUAUUUUGUCAAAAAAAAAAGUGAAACGAGUGUUUAUACUAUUAUUAACUUUAAUCUCUUAAUCUAAAUUUGUUCUGAA
Long non-coding RNA from Brassica napus (rape), 2267 nucleotides. RefSeq lists it as uncharacterized. The record is from RefSeq and is a predicted model, not a curated record. The transcript is spliced from 4 exons. Lineage: Eukaryota; Viridiplantae; Streptophyta; Magnoliopsida; Brassicales; Brassicaceae.